RNAcentral lists this transfer RNA (77 nucleotides) under Azospirillum sp. RNAcentral describes it as "tRNA-Arg". It matches the Rfam family "tRNA". Rfam says of the family: Transfer RNA (tRNA) molecules are approximately 80 nucleotides in length. Their secondary structure includes four short double-helical elements and three loops (D, anti-codon, and T loops). Further hydrogen bonds mediate the characteristic L-shaped molecular structure. tRNAs have two regions of fundamental functional importance: the anti-codon, which is responsible for specific mRNA codon recognition, and the 3' end, to which the tRNAs corresponding amino acid is attached (by aminoacyl-tRNA synthetases). tRNAs cope with the degeneracy of the genetic code in two manners: having more than one tRNA (with a specific anti-codon) for a particular amino acid; and 'wobble' base-pairing, i.e. permitting non-standard base-pairing at the 3rd anti-codon position. RNAcentral also lists the same sequence under 3 other names. Lineage: Bacteria; Pseudomonadati; Pseudomonadota; Alphaproteobacteria; Rhodospirillales; Azospirillaceae. The record is from RNAcentral.
GCACCCGUAGCUCAAUUGGAUAGAGCAUCUGACUACGGAUCAGAAGGUUGUGAGUUCGAACCCCGCCGGGUGCGCCA